GGGGUAACGGCUCACCAAGGCCACGAUCCGUAUCUGGUUUGAGAGGACGACCAACCUCCUGGGACUGAGACACGGCCCCGACUCCUACUCCAGGCAGCGGGGGGAAUUUUGGACUAUGGGGGUAACCCUGAUCCUGCCAUCCCGCUAGCGCGAUGAAGGCCUUCGGCUUGUAAAGCACUUUUGCUUUUAAAGAAACGUCGCGCCUUAAUACCCCGCCCAACUGACGGUACCUGCACAAUAAGCACCGGCUACCUACAUGUCCGCAGCCGCGGCCAUACGUAUGCUGCAAGCGUUAAUCGGAAUUACUGUUAGUGAAGCGUGCGCAGGCGGUUCGGAAAGAAAGAUGUGAAAUCCCAGAGCUUAACUUUGGAACUGCAUUUUUAACUACCGGGCUAGAGUGUGUCAGAGGGAGGUGGAAUUCCGCGUGUAGCAGUGAAAUGCGUAGAUAUGCGGAGGAACACCGAUGGCGAAGGCAGCCUCCUGGGAUAACACUGACGCUCAUGCACGAAAGCGUGGGGAGCAAACAGGAUUAGAUACCCUGGUAGUCCACGCCCUAAACGAUGUCAACUAGCUGUUGGGGCCUUCGGGCCUUGGUAGCGCAGCUAACGCGUGAAGUUGACCGCCUGGGGAGUACGGUCGCAAGAUUCAAACUCAAAGGAAUUGGCGGGGACCCGCACAAGCGGUGGAUGAUGUGGAUUAAUUCGAUGCAACGCGAAAACCCUUCCCUACCCUUGACAUGUCUGGAAUCAUGAAGAGAUUUAGGAGUGCUCGCAAGAGAACCGGAACACCGGUGCUGCAUGCCGGUCGUCAGCUCGUGUCGUGAGAUGUUGGGUUAAGUCCCGCAACGAGCGCACCCCUUGUCACUAGUUGUUACGAAAGGGCAUUUUAAGGAGACUGCCGGUGCCAAACCGGAGGAAGGGGGGGAUGAGGUCAAGUCUUCAUGGCCCUUAGGGGUAGGGCUUCACACGUCAUACAAUGGUCGGGACAGAGGGUCGACAACCCGCGAGGGGGAGCCAAUCCCAGAAACCCGAUUGUAGUCCGGAUCGCAGUCUGCAACUCGAUUGCGUGAAGUCGGAAUCGCUAGUAAUCGCGGAUCAGCAUGUCGCGGUGAAUACGUUCCCGGGCCUGUACACACCGCCCGUCACACCAUGGGAAGUGGGUUGCACCAGAAGUAGUGAGCCUAACCGCAAGGAGGGCGAUUACCACGGUAGAUCAUAAG
This 1219-nucleotide ribosomal RNA is filed under the name Achromobacter sp. RNAcentral's name for it is "bacterial SSU rRNA". It matches the Rfam family "Bacterial small subunit ribosomal RNA", at positions 254 to 1474 of the family's 1533-position model. Lineage: Bacteria; Pseudomonadati; Pseudomonadota; Betaproteobacteria; Burkholderiales; Alcaligenaceae. The record is from RNAcentral.